Non-coding RNA from Haemorhous mexicanus (house finch), 516 nucleotides. The record is from the annotation of a RefSeq genome assembly. Lineage: Eukaryota; Metazoa; Chordata; Aves; Passeriformes; Fringillidae.
AUGGGGAUGGGAAUCCUGAUUGGUCGAGGGCCUCAUAGGGCCGUGACCCUGCUGGAGUGCGGGGGGGACCUCCAGCCCCCCGGGGGGUCCCUGCGCCUCCUCUGCCGAGGGGCCGGCUUCGAUUUCGGGAGUUUUGGAAUGUUCUGGAUCCGCCAGAGACCCUGGCAGGGGCUGGAGUGGGUCGGGGGAAUCACCACCAUUGGCAGCACCUUCUACGCGCCGUCAGUGCGGGGCAGGGUCACGAUCUCCAGGGACAACGGGCAGAGCUCGGUGACGCUGACCAUGACCGACCUCCGGGACGAGGAUUCCGGAUCCUAUUUCUGUGCCAAAUCUGCUUCUGCUGGUGGUUAUGGUGCUGCUGGUGCUUAUAGUGACGGUGCCGGCUGUGGCCCCACUCCCCAUGAUGGGCACCCAAUGUCCCCAAUCCCAGCGAUCCUUCCCCCAAAUCCCAGCCCCGUUCCUCCAAUCUCGGCCAUUUCCCCCAAACUCCUCCCCUGCUGACCGAGCUCUGGACUU